GCCAGGUGUGGUGGUGCAUGCUUGUAAUCCCAGCUACUCGGGAGGCUGAGGCAGGAGAAUCGCUUGAACCCAGGAGGCGGAGGUUGCAGUGAGCUGAGAUCAUGCCACUGCACUCCAGCCUGGGUGACAGAGUGAUACUCUGUCUCAA
Molecule: non-coding RNA, 148 nt
Filed under: Nomascus leucogenys (northern white-cheeked gibbon)
Lineage: Eukaryota; Metazoa; Chordata; Mammalia; Primates; Hylobatidae
Source: Rfam by way of RNAcentral